This 432-nucleotide unclassified non-coding RNA is filed under the name soil metagenome. RNAcentral's name for it is "partial contains 5.8S ribosomal RNA, internal transcribed spacer 2, and large subunit ribosomal RNA". The stretch from base 1 to 120 matches the Rfam family "5.8S ribosomal RNA", at positions 35 to 154 of the family's 154-position model. The record is from RNAcentral.
GAUGAAGAACGUAGCGAAAUGCGAUACGUAAUGUGAAUUGCAGAAUUCAGUGAAUCAUCGAAUCUUUGAACGCAUAUUGCGCUCUCUGGUAUUCCGGAGAGCAUGCUUGUUUGAGUAUCAGUAAACACCUCAACUUCCAUACCUUUUUUGAAAUGGGAGUUGGACUUGAGUGAUCCCAACGCUUUUCCUCACCGAAAAGUGGCGGGUUACUUGAAAUGCAGGUGCAGCUGGACUUUUCUCUGAGCUAUAAGCAUAUCUAUUUAGUCUGCCUAAAAAACAGAUUAUUACCUUUGCUGCAGCUAACAUAAAGGAGAUUAGUUCUUGUGCUGACUGAUGCAGGAUUCACAAAGACGGCUUCGGCCGACUUUGUAAACUCGAUCUCAAAUCAAGUAAGACUACCCGCUGAACUUAAGCAUAUCAAUAAGCGGAGGA